RNAcentral lists this ribosomal RNA (420 nucleotides) under uncultured bacterium. Its description in RNAcentral is "bacterial SSU rRNA". It matches the Rfam family "Bacterial small subunit ribosomal RNA", at positions 356 to 773 of the family's 1533-position model. The record is from RNAcentral.
GAGGAAUAUUGCGCAAUGGAGGCAACUCUGACGCAGCCAUGCCGCGUGCAGGAAGACGGUCCUAUGGAUUGUAAACUGCUUUUAUACGGGAAUAAUCCCCCGCACGUGUGCGGGGUUGAAUGUACCGUAAGAAUAAGCAUCGGCUAACUCCGUGCCAGCAGCCGCGGUAAUACGGAGGAUGCAAGCGUUAUCCGGAUUUAUUGGGUUUAAAGGGUGCGUAGGCGGGGCUAUAAGUCAGUGGUGAAAUCUUGCAGCUUAACUGUAAAAUUGCCAUUGAUACUGUAGUUCUUGAGUACAAUUGAGGUAGGCGGAAUGUGUAAUGUAGCGGUGAAAUGCUUAGAUAUUACACAGAACACCGAUUGCGUAGGCAGCUUACUAAGUUGUAACUGACGCUGAGGCACGAAAGCGUGGGUAGCGAAC